This 440-nucleotide ribosomal RNA is filed under the name uncultured bacterium. RNAcentral's name for it is "partial 16S ribosomal RNA". It matches the Rfam family "Bacterial small subunit ribosomal RNA", at positions 338 to 795 of the family's 1533-position model. The record is from RNAcentral.
CCUACGGGAGGCAGCAGUGGGGGAUAUUGCACAAUGGGGGAAACCCUGAUGCAGCGACGCCGCGUGGGUGAAGAAGCGCCUCGGCGCGUAAAGCCCUGUCAGCAGGGAAGAAAAUGAAGGUACCUGAAGAAGAAGCCACGGAUAACUACGUGCCAGCAGCCGCGGUAAUACGUAGGGGGCAAUCGUUAUCCGGAUUUACUGGUUGUAAAGGGGGCGCAGACGGCGAUGCAAGCCAGGAGUGAAAGCCCGGGGCCCAACCCCGGGACUGCUUGUGGACCUGCGUGGCUAGAGUGCAGGAGGGGCAGGCGGAAUUCCUGGUGUAGCGGUGAAAUGCGUAGAUAUCAGGAGGAACACCGGUGGCGAAGGCGGCCUGCUGGACUGCAACUGACGUUGAGGCCCGAAAGCGUGGGGAGCAAACAGGAUUAGAUACCCUGGUAGUC